This 514-nucleotide ribosomal RNA is filed under the name uncultured bacterium. Its description in RNAcentral is "bacterial SSU rRNA". It matches the Rfam family "Bacterial small subunit ribosomal RNA", at positions 9 to 518 of the family's 1533-position model. The record is from RNAcentral.
AGAGUUGAUCCUGGCUAGGAUGAACGCUGGCGGCGGUGCCUAAUACAUGCAAGUCGAACGAGAGUGCUUGCACUCUAGUGGCGAACGGGUGAGUAACACGUAGGUAACCUGCCUUACAGUUGGGAUACCCUGGCGAAAGCUAGGCUAAUACCGAAUAAUUGGAUUGGAGGCAUCUCCGAUCUCUAAAAGGGGCCUUUAAAGCCUCGCUGAAUGAUGGACCUGCGGCGCAUUAGCUAGUUGGUGAGAUAACAGCCCACCAAGGCGAGGAUGCGUAGCCGACCUGAGAGGGUGAGCGGCCACACUGGAACUGAGACACGGUCCAGACUCCUACGGGAGGCAGCAGUAGGGAGUUUUCGGCAAUGGGGGCAACCCUGACCGAGCAACGCCGCGUGAAUGAUGAAGGUCUUCGGAUUGUAAAGUUCUGUUAUAAGGGAAAAAUGAUAUGGUGAGGAAAUGCUCCAUAUUUGAUGGUACCUUAUUAGAAAGCCACGGCUAACUACGUGCCAGCCGCCGC